RNAcentral lists this ribosomal RNA (301 nucleotides) under uncultured bacterium. RNAcentral's name for it is "partial 16S ribosomal RNA". It matches the Rfam family "Bacterial small subunit ribosomal RNA", at positions 509 to 809 of the family's 1533-position model. The record is from RNAcentral.
CAGCAGCCGCGGGAAUACGAGGGGAGCUAGCGUUGUUCGGAAUUACUGGGCGUAAAGCGCGCGUAGGCGGCUUUUUAAGUCAGAGGUGAAAGCCCGGGGCUCAACCCCGGAAUUGCCUUUGAAACUGGAAAGCUAGAAUCUUGGAGAGGUCAGUGGAAUUCCGAGUGUAGAGGUGAAAUUCGUAGAUAUUCGGAAGAACACCAGUGGCGAAGGCGACUGACUGGACAAGUAUUGACGCUGAGGUGCGAAAGCGUGGGGAGCAAACAGGAUUAGAUACCCGAGUAGUCCCUGUCUCUUAUAU